UCCAGACUCCUACGGGAGGCAGCAGUGGGGAAUAUUGCACAAUGGGGGAAACCCUGAUGCAGCGACGCCGCGUGAGUGAAGAAGUAUUUCGGUAUGUAAAGCUCUAUCAGCAGGGAAGAAAAACCGACCAUAGGGUCGCUAGACGGUACCUGAUUAAGAAGCCCCGGCUAACUACGUGCCAGCAGCCGCGGUAAUACGUAGGGGGCAAGCGUUAUCCGGAUUUACUGGGUGUAAAGGGAGCGUAGACGGCAGCGCAAGUCUGAAGUGAAAGCCCGCGGCUCAACUGCGGAACGGCUUUGGAAACUGAGUAACUGGAGUGCUGGAGGGGCAGGCGGAAUUCCUGGUGUAGCGGUGAAAUGCGUAGAUAUCAGGAGGAACACCAGUGGCGAAGGCGGCCUGCUGGACGACAACUGACGGUGAGGCGCGAAAGCGUGGGGAGCAAACAGGAUUAGAUACCCGGGUA
RNAcentral lists this ribosomal RNA (463 nucleotides) under uncultured bacterium. Its description in RNAcentral is "partial 16S ribosomal RNA". It matches the Rfam family "Bacterial small subunit ribosomal RNA", at positions 330 to 792 of the family's 1533-position model. The record is from RNAcentral.